ACGAACGUUGGCGGCGUGCCUAAUACAUGCAAGUCGUGGGAGAAACCCGGGGCAACUCGGGGAGUAAACCGGCGAAAGGGUGAGUAAUACAUAGAUAACGUACCCCCAUGUCUGGGAUAACCCUCCGAAAGGUGGGCUAAUACCGGAUAACGACGAGAAGGGACAUCCCGUUUCGUCCAAAGCCGAAAGGCGCGAGGGGAGCGAUCUAUGGCCUAUCAGCUAGUUGGCGGGGUAACGGCCCACCAAGGCAAUGACGGGUAGCCGGACUUAGAGGUUGAACGGCCACACGGGAACUGAGACACGGUCCCGACAUCUACGGAUGGCAGCAGUAGGGAAUAUUGCGCAAUGGGCGAAAGCCUGACGCAGCGACGCCGCGUGGGGGAUGAAGGCCUUCGGGUUGUAAACCCCUUUCGUGGGGGACGAACACUGACGUUACCCCAGGAAGAAGCACCGGCUAACUCCGU
RNAcentral lists this ribosomal RNA (464 nucleotides) under uncultured bacterium. Its description in RNAcentral is "bacterial SSU rRNA". It matches the Rfam family "Bacterial small subunit ribosomal RNA", at positions 29 to 506 of the family's 1533-position model. The record is from RNAcentral.